Molecule: unclassified non-coding RNA, 364 nt
Filed under: uncultured bacterium
Lineage: Bacteria
Description: contains 16S-23S intergenic spacer region
Source: RNAcentral
UCCCGGUUGGCCCGGGCAGUCUCGCAUGAAAAAUACAACAUACGACAAGGGUUGCGCUCGUUGCGGGACUUAACCCAACAUCUCACGACACGAGCUGACGACGGCCAUGCAGCACCUGUCACUUGGCUCCCGAGGGCACCCCGCUGUUUCCAGCAGGUUCCAAGGAUGUCAAGCCUGGGUAAGGUUCUUCGCGUACCGUCAAAUUAAACCACAUCAUCCUCCGCUUGUGCGGGUCCCCGUCAAUUCCUUUGAGUUUUAGCCUUGCGGCCGUACUUCCCAGGCGGCAUACUUAUCGCGUUAGCUUCGUUUCGCAGGGGGUCGAUACCCCACAAAACUAGUAUGCAUCGUUUACGGCGUGGACUAC